This 87-nucleotide transfer RNA is filed under the name Candidatus Riesia sp. RNAcentral describes it as "tRNA-Ser". It matches the Rfam family "tRNA". From Rfam's summary of the family: Transfer RNA (tRNA) molecules are approximately 80 nucleotides in length. Their secondary structure includes four short double-helical elements and three loops (D, anti-codon, and T loops). Further hydrogen bonds mediate the characteristic L-shaped molecular structure. tRNAs have two regions of fundamental functional importance: the anti-codon, which is responsible for specific mRNA codon recognition, and the 3' end, to which the tRNAs corresponding amino acid is attached (by aminoacyl-tRNA synthetases). tRNAs cope with the degeneracy of the genetic code in two manners: having more than one tRNA (with a specific anti-codon) for a particular amino acid; and 'wobble' base-pairing, i.e. permitting non-standard base-pairing at the 3rd anti-codon position. The record is from RNAcentral. Lineage: Bacteria; Pseudomonadati; Pseudomonadota; Gammaproteobacteria; Enterobacterales; Enterobacteriaceae.
GGAGAGGUGUCCGAGUGGCUUAAGGAGCACGCCUGGAAAGUGUGUGUGCUAAAUUUUGCACCGAGGGUUCGAAUCCCUCUCUCUCCG